AUGCGUCAAUAUUGGUGGGGAGUGGAGAAUGUGAAGAAGAAAAUGGCAUGGACAAGUUGGGACAAAAUGAUUCUCCCCAAAGCUAUGGGGGGCAUGGGCUUCAGGGAUAUGCGAGCGUUCAACCAAGCGCUGCUGGCCAAGCAAGCGUGGAGGCUCCUUGACUCUCCUGACAGCCUAGUUGCGAGACUAAUGAAGGCAAAAUAUUACCCUCAAGGUCAGUUACUGGAUACAGUAUUUUCAAUCUCUGGAUCAGCCGUGUGGAAAGGCAUUUUGCAUGGUUUGGAGCUGCUCAAAAAAGGUGUCAUAUGGCGGGUGGGGGACGGGGGGCAUAUUCGGACAUGA
This 342-nucleotide ribosomal RNA is filed under the name Triticum aestivum (bread wheat). RNAcentral describes it as "partial small subunit ribosomal RNA". The record is from RNAcentral. Lineage: Eukaryota; Viridiplantae; Streptophyta; Magnoliopsida; Poales; Poaceae.